GAAUUUGUUGAAUAUUUCAGUAAAUUAAAUAGGAACGAUUUAUCUACAAGUAACUAUAGAAUAUUAACUGCACCUCUCAUUGGCUACAUUGUAUUAAUGUCUAAAAUCAUGCUUAGGAAAGGUCUUCUAAAAACACGUAGAAGAUGCGUAUUAUGAAGAACUGUGCCUGGAUUUAUUCGAUUUGCACAAAAAUAAACAUAUUUUAACUACAGCUUCCAAAAGUUUUUUGAAGUCCUCUUAUGAAUACUUAAGUCCACUUAUUAGUGAGCAGCUCUUGUGAGAAGGCUGCUAUCCCAGAAAAAUCCUCAUACAUUAUUUUCUAUCCCCAAAUCAUAUCUCUUUAAAAAAUGUAGGUUAAUCUUAUUACAUUUACAAUUGUUUCUAUUUGCCGGUCAAGCUCUUUUAUUCCUGGUAAGAAAUUAUUUAAAGGUAAAGAUUAUUUUUAAAAAAUUCUCCUGAAUCCUAUGGAUGGAACUGAGUCAGAUUGGACUGAACGGACCAAAUGCUCAUACAGACAGAGUAAGCUCCCUGAGAAUUCUGGCUCUAUCAGAUGUUCUUCCCUAACAUUUGUGUGUGUGGUCCUAAUUUGAGAUUUUUCAAUUGGUUUUAAUUUCCACCACUCUGGACAUCCAGAUUCUGACUGUGCCUAGCAGAGAAAGUGCCAACAUUCCAUGAGAACAACGGUCUCUAUGGAAUUUUUGACUUGACCAGAGCAGGAAGAACAGGAAACGUUAUUUUUAAAAGAACCAUUUUUCACACUGCUGAUGUCUGGAGAAUGAAGAUAAGCUUUGAGCUUACUUCCAAAUCUUUGGGUGCUCCUCCAAGCAUGCUCUAAAUGGGGUGUGAAACAUAGCAUGCUGGACUGGGAUUGGACAGUGAUCAAGAGGAAACAGAAUUGGCAGUGGGGCUUUUUCUCGUUUAGUUUUCAGGAUGGUGGAGUGCUUAAUGGAAACAUGACAUGGAAGUGGGUGCUGGGGCAGGAGCUGAGUUGUGGAAGAGACUGUGGAUGGUUAAGAAAUUGUUAUUGA
Molecule: long non-coding RNA, 1028 nt
Filed under: Oryctolagus cuniculus (rabbit)
Lineage: Eukaryota; Metazoa; Chordata; Mammalia; Lagomorpha; Leporidae
Description: lncRNA (ENSOCUG00000031791.1)
Source: RNAcentral